This 999-nucleotide unclassified non-coding RNA is filed under the name Hevea brasiliensis (rubber tree). Lineage: Eukaryota; Viridiplantae; Streptophyta; Magnoliopsida; Malpighiales; Euphorbiaceae. The record is from RNAcentral.
GUUGUGCUAUGAUCACACUAGCAUCAACAAGUUAACAAUAGAUCAUAGCACAACCUUCCCAUCAAUGGGUUCCUGUGUCUCAAUCCAUAGAAAUUCCGAUUCCCCCAUGAAAUUCAGACUCUCACUUCCCUCCAAAACCAACGAUAUGGCAAUUCCCCCUUCACCCAUCAAACAUAUCAACACUCCUAUCAACGGCAGCGUCUUCCUCAAAUCUCAGACUUCCCCUUCUCACUUCGGUAGCAAAGAUGAAGCGUUUUUCGAUUCCCGAGGCUGGUUGGAUUCAGAUUGCGAAGAUGAUUUCUACAGUGUUAAUGGUGAUUUCACUCCUUCACGAGGAAACACUCCAGUUCACUCCAUCUCCUCCGGUACUCCUCGGAUCAACCAAGUUCAUGUCAUUGAUGAUCGAACUCCGGUCACCAUUCCCGAACUGUCACCAACAGGAAAGAAGAAGCUGGCUGAUCUUUUCAGGGAGAGUUCUAGAAAUGGCACUGACGUACAAGCCAAACAAACUCUGAAUGAACUUGCCCUGCAGUCGAAUCCUGAAACGCCUUACAUGUCAGGAAAAAACUCUGUAUGCAGCAGCGAGAGGACCCCGAAUGGAGAUGUGAUUGAGAAGGAGAGGCCAUUUGGAUCCGUACAAUGCUGCCUCCCAAGCUUGGGGUCAUGUCGUAGCUUCGGUGGUGACCGGAGGAAGAAGGCAAGUCCUGCCAUAGCUGUAUAAUACAAGCUUUGAUUGAAGAUGCCAUAAGCUGCAAAUUCCCCUCUGAUUCUGCCUUUGUGAGACCCCAAAGCUCAUGGAGCUCACAAUUGUUUAGAAAUGUGUAAAGUUCUGAAAUAUCAGAUACAGAUGCAGCAGCAGUGAUCAAGAGAUAUUGCUGUUGUUGAAGGCAAUGGUUAUAUAUAUAUAUGUUAGAUUCAUAGUACAGUGUCUCAUAUCAUAUCAGAAUAUGUAAGAAAACAAAGAGAGAGGAAGAAGAAAGGGAAAGAAAGUAAUAAGGC